AAGUCGUAACAAGGUUUCCGUAGGUGAACCUGCGGAAGGAUCAUUACUGAAUUGUCAACACGAGUUGUUGCUGGUCCUCAAAUGGGGGCAUGUGCACGCUCUGUUCACACAUCCACUCACACCUGUGCACCCUCUGUAGUUCUGUGGCUUGGGGGGCUCUGUCCUCCUGCUGUGGUUCUAUAUCUUUACACACACUCUGUAAUAAAGUCUCAUGGAAUGUAUGCCGCGUUUAACGCAAUAUAAUACAACUUUCAGCAACGGAUCUCUUGGCUCUC
Molecule: unclassified non-coding RNA, 275 nt
Filed under: Tomentella sp.
Lineage: Eukaryota; Fungi; Basidiomycota; Agaricomycetes; Thelephorales; Thelephoraceae
Description: partial internal transcribed spacer region
Rfam family: Eukaryotic small subunit ribosomal RNA (bases 1-46)
Source: RNAcentral